This 537-nucleotide ribosomal RNA is filed under the name Caccobius jessoensis. Its description in RNAcentral is "eukaryotic LSU rRNA". It matches the Rfam family "Eukaryotic large subunit ribosomal RNA", at positions 710 to 1209 of the family's 3401-position model. The record is from RNAcentral. Lineage: Eukaryota; Metazoa; Arthropoda; Insecta; Coleoptera; Scarabaeidae.
AAAGGCGCAAUGAAAGUAAAGGUCCGCCUCGCGCGGACCGAGGGAGGAUGGGUCCGUUCUCGAACGGGCCCCGCACUCCCGGGGCGUCUCGUUCUCAUCGCGAGAUGAGGCGCACCUAGAGCGUACACGCUGGGACCCGAAAGAUGGUGAACUAUGCCUGGUCAGGACGAAGUCAGGGGAAACCCUGAUGGAGGUCCGUAGCGAUUCUGACGUGCAAAUCGAUCGUCGGAACUGGGUAUAGGGGCGAAAGACUAAUCGAACCUUCUAGUAGCUGGUUCCCUCCGAAGUUUCCCUCAGGAUAGCUGGCGCUCGAAUUGCGAGUCUCAUUCGGUAAAGCGAAUGAUUAGAGGCAUUGGGGUCGAAACGGCCUCAACCUAUUCUCAAACUUUAAAUGGGUGAGAUCUCCGGCUUGCUUAAAGCGUGAAGCCGCGAGAUUCGGAUCAAUGAGUGCCAAGUGGGCCACUUUUGGUAAGCAGAACUGGCGCUGUGGGAUGAACCAAACGCAGAGUUAAAGCGCCAAAAUCGACGCUUAUGGGA